UACGUAGGGGGCAAGCGUUGUCCGGAUUUAUUGGGCGUAAAGAGCGUGUAGGCGGCCAGACAGGUCCGUUGUGAAAACUCGAGGCUCAACCUCGAGAUGUCGAUGGAAACCGUCUGGCUAGAGUCCGGAAGAGGAGUGUGGAAUUCCUGGUGUAGCGGUGAAAUGCGCAGAUAUCAGGAGGAACACCAAUGGCGAAGGCAGCUCGCUGGGACGGUACUGACACUGAGGCGCGAAAGCGUGGGGAGCGAACAGG
RNAcentral lists this ribosomal RNA (253 nucleotides) under uncultured bacterium. RNAcentral describes it as "partial 16S ribosomal RNA". It matches the Rfam family "Bacterial small subunit ribosomal RNA", at positions 524 to 776 of the family's 1533-position model. The record is from RNAcentral.